GACAGAGGGUGCAAACGUUGUUCGGAAUUACUGGGCGUAAAGCGUGUGUAGGCUGCUACAUAAGUCCGGUGUGAAAGUCAAAGGCUCAACCUUUGAAUGCCGCUGGAAACUGUCUGGCUAGAGUCCGGGAGGGGCGAGUGGAAUUCCUGGUGUAGCGGUGAAAUGCGCAGAUAUCAGGAGGAACACCAAUGGCGAAGGCAGCUCGCUGGAACGGUACUGACGCUGAGGCGCGAAAGCGUGGGGAGCGAACAGG
This 253-nucleotide ribosomal RNA is filed under the name uncultured bacterium. RNAcentral's name for it is "partial 16S ribosomal RNA". It matches the Rfam family "Bacterial small subunit ribosomal RNA", at positions 524 to 776 of the family's 1533-position model. The record is from RNAcentral.